Molecule: ribosomal RNA, 161 nt
Filed under: Hebeloma velutipes
Lineage: Eukaryota; Fungi; Basidiomycota; Agaricomycetes; Agaricales; Hymenogastraceae
Description: 5.8S ribosomal RNA
Rfam family: 5.8S ribosomal RNA
About the family: 5.8S ribosomal RNA (5.8S rRNA) is a component of the large subunit of the eukaryotic ribosome.
Source: RNAcentral
CAACGGAUCUCUUGGCUCUCGCAUCGAUGAAGAACGCAGCGAAAUGCGAUAAGUAAUGUGAAUUGCAGAAUUCAGUGAAUCAUCGAAUCUUUGAACGCACCUUGCGCUCCUUGGAAUUCCGAGGAGCAUGCCUGUUUGAGUGUCAUUAAAUUCUCAACCUU